RNAcentral lists this transfer RNA (66 nucleotides) under Dipodomys ordii (Ord's kangaroo rat). It matches the Rfam family "tRNA". Rfam says of the family: Transfer RNA (tRNA) molecules are approximately 80 nucleotides in length. Lineage: Eukaryota; Metazoa; Chordata; Mammalia; Rodentia; Heteromyidae. The record is from Rfam by way of RNAcentral.
GGUGGCUCAGUAGUAGAGCGCUUGCCUUAAAAUGCAUGAAGCCCUGGGUUCAAUUCCUCAGCACCA